This 445-nucleotide ribosomal RNA is filed under the name uncultured Myxococcales bacterium. RNAcentral's name for it is "bacterial SSU rRNA". It matches the Rfam family "Bacterial small subunit ribosomal RNA", at positions 349 to 789 of the family's 1533-position model. Lineage: Bacteria; Pseudomonadati; Myxococcota; Myxococcia; Myxococcales. The record is from RNAcentral.
CAGCAGUAGGGAAUCUUCCGCAAUGGGCGAAAGGCUGACGGAGCGACGCCGCGUGAGUGAUGAAGGCCUUCGGGUUGUAAAGCUCUGUGGGGAGAGAAGAAUAAGUGUGAGUGAAUAUCUUAUCUGAUGACGGUAUCUCCUUAGCAAGCACCGGCUAACUCUGUGCCAGCAGCCGCGGUAAGACAGAGGGUGCCAACGUUGUUCGGAUUUACUGGGCGUAAAGCGGGGGUAGGCGGCUUGGCAAGUUGGAUGUUAAGCCCACGGCUCAACCGUGGAAGAGCAUCCGAAACUGCUUCGCUCGAGUCUCGGAGAGGAAGGUGGAAUGCUUGGUGUAGAGGUGAAAUUCGUAGAUUCAAGCAGAACACCUGCGGCGAAGGCGGCCUUCUGGACGAUGACUGACGCUGAGGCGCGAAAGCGUGGGGAGCAAACAGGAUUAGAUACCCGG